Molecule: long non-coding RNA, 1262 nt
Filed under: Sus scrofa (pig)
Lineage: Eukaryota; Metazoa; Chordata; Mammalia; Artiodactyla; Suidae
Description: lncRNA (ENSSSCG00015022482.1)
Source: RNAcentral
UGUUUGUUUGUUUUGUUUUUUGUCUUUUUAGGGACAAACCCACGGCACAUGGAGGUUCCCAGGCGAGGGGUCCAAUUCGAGCUGUACCUCUGGCUUAUGCCAGAGCCACAGCAAUGUGGGAUCUGAGCCGCAUCUGCGACCCACACCACAGCUCACAGCAACGCCAGAUCCUUAACCCACUGAGCAAGGCCAGGGAUUGAACCUGAGUCCUCAUGGAUGCUAAUCAGGUUUGUUAACCACCAAGCCACGACGGGAACUCCCUGUGUUACUUUAGCUUGAAUUGAUUUCACAAAGGACUUAAAUCAUGAGAUGGGGAUCCAAUAUCAAGCUUAUAUACCCUGUUAUUGAUAUAAUGUCUAAAACAGGAUUGCUUAUAAGGUGGGGGAAGGCUAACAGGGCAAUUCAUUGACAGUAAGAGACCGAAGAGUCUAUGUUUGGCUCUUAUAGUUCGUGCCUAGAGAACAAGCGAUUAAGAUCUUUGAAUAAUCUGAAUAUCAUAGUUAUAUACCACUGGGAGAUCAACGUUUAGUAUUUAAAAUGCCUAAGUAAAGUUUUAGUAAACUGAUGGAUUUUUCAAGAAUCUAUUUACUUCUUUUAGUUAUUCACGGGGUGUUUCCGUAAGGAUUAAAAAUAGGUUAAAAUCGAACCGCUAAAACAAGUAGCUAAAACCAUCUUCAUCUAGUAAAUUGUUAAAUGCUGGCACGAUACCAUUUUGAUACAAAGUUGUGCUAAAAAUGCUUUUCUGUUUACCGAUUUUUACUGAUAACCACCGUUUCCUCUAAAAUUCUGUAGAUAGAAACACUUCAUUUGAGCCAGAAAAUUUUAUAACUGAUGGAAGCUCUUAAACCAUCUAUAGGGUUUUCUACUUUUUUGUGUAUCAAAAUCAAUAUUUCCUGCUUCAAGGAAGCUCUACUGCUUUUGUUUAAAUCGUUAUAUUAUCAGUGCUAAUGCACAUCUAAAAUUGAUCACCCAGAAUUCCCAUCGUGGCUCAGCAGAAAUGAAUCUGAUUAGUAAUCACGAGAACACAGAUUCGAUCCCUGGCCUUGCUCAGUGGGUUAGGGAUCCAGCGUUGGUGUUGCCAUGAGCUGUGAUGUAGGUCACAGAUGCGGCUCAGAUCCAGCAUUGCCGUGGCUACGGCAUAAGCCAGAGGUACAGUUCUGAUUCGACCCCUAGCCUGGGAAUUCCCAUAUGCUGUGGGUGCAGCCCUAAAAAGACAAAAUAAAUAAAUUAAUUAAUUCAUUAAAAUAAAAUUGAUCAUCCAU